This 918-nucleotide long non-coding RNA is filed under the name Marmota monax (woodchuck). The record is from RNAcentral. Lineage: Eukaryota; Metazoa; Chordata; Mammalia; Rodentia; Sciuridae.
GGAAUGAAUAGAAGAAAAAGUGUUGGUGUUUUCAGCACAUCUCUACAAUGUAGAAGAGCUGAACAUUGGCCAUGUGUUCUUUCUCUCACUCUAUCUUACUCUUAUCAAUUCAUAAAAAAGUAAUUCUGAUUACAAACUACUCUGUAGCUCUGAUUACUCUCUCACUUAACAGAAUAAUUAAUUCCCUGGUAAUUGAAUCUGCUCAUAGAUAUAAAAUCUACAGAGUUUCCCACAAGCCAGCCUUUAUACCAUAAGUACAAGUAAUUGACCCCUCACAGAUCUUAACGAUAUUCAAAACUAGCCUAGACCCCCAUAUUUGGAGACUUAUUCACUAUAUAUACUGGUGAAUAGAGGAUGCUUUCUUGUCCUGAGUUGGGCAGCAGGCUGUGGUUCCUGUCUGCAAAUCUCCAUCUCUCUCACCGUUUCACAGAGGCCUUUAUCUACAGUGAGAUGCAAAUGGCUCAGUGAAUAUUGCAUGAGUCAUUGGAAAGGUACUAACUUCUUUGUUUAGUUAGGAAAGAGGAAAGCUCACCAAAGUGCUGGGAACCUGGAGGCAUGGUGCCCGGAAAGGCAUACAGUAGGGAGCUCGAUAAACAAAGUGAGCAUUUUCGUACAUCACAGGGAUGCCCAGACUGACCCAGCCAUAAGCCGAACAUAAAUGAACAUAAGCUGAAUAUCAUUUGCCAGUUGAAGCAAAUACUUUCUAAUUAAGUAUGCUAAUUUCCUUUUUCUAUUUGCUGUGCCUGCCUCCUCCUUUAACUCAGAUCUCUUGUACUAGGCAAUGCUUGUACUCAACACCAUCUUCCCUGUUGAUUCCUCUCUGACAGCUUUGCUUCUGGUUUCCUGUCUUCUUUUCUCCUCUGUUUCAGAGCUUCUAGUCUCCACCUUGGCCCUGCCCCAGCUGUCUCAAGAGAGAAU